CAGACUGCUGCCCGCUGGCUGGCUAGGUCGCUCUAUUAAUGCAGCUCUCAGUCCUCACCAAAGAAGAGUUUUCCAGUGGACAAGUUAAUACAGAGAUUCACAACUGGCUGACAAGCAAAGAAUAUCUGAUUAUGGAAUGCCUAGUUCCUAAAGAAACAUCUGUGCUAACCCAACCCCACCACCAAGGCUUAGGGACCAUCAAGGAAAACAGGGCCGGAAGUUGGGCAGAGGGACUGCACUGAAAUAUCCUGGGGAAGAGGGAAGAGCUCAUGAGUUCUCAUCCAUCCCUGAAGGAUUAUUGACAGUUGAUGGUGACUGGGGGAAGAAUGUCACUUUCUUCAGUGGUGUGACUACAGAUGAGCUGUUCAUGCUUCAGUGUAGGGGAAACCUUACCCAUGCCUACUAGGGACUGCCUACAGGUAUGCCUGUGAUCAGGGUGACAUAGUGAAGGUUUAAGAGUGAGGGGAAAGCACAUGAAACUCCCUUUCCUUUUCAUCAUUGGCUUGCUGUACUUACUCCUGCCCUGCCAGCUGGCUAGGUCACUCUGUAAGUAAGUCUUUUCCCUAAUAAAUACCCUUAUAUUUAACCUGACUCAGUAUUGGUAAAUUCCCACAUUAUUCUGGUGUCAGAAGCAGG
Molecule: long non-coding RNA, 636 nt
Filed under: Cricetulus griseus (Chinese hamster)
Lineage: Eukaryota; Metazoa; Chordata; Mammalia; Rodentia; Cricetidae
Description: lncRNA (ENSCGRG00015035100.1)
Source: RNAcentral